This 1041-nucleotide long non-coding RNA is filed under the name Heterocephalus glaber (naked mole-rat). RNAcentral's name for it is "lncRNA (ENSHGLG00100046414.1)". The record is from RNAcentral. Lineage: Eukaryota; Metazoa; Chordata; Mammalia; Rodentia; Bathyergidae.
AAGAAAUAGGGACUGUUUUCAGCUUUGCCAGCAGCACACUGCCCAAAUGGCUGAAAUGAAAUGGUGUUAUUCCACUGGAAAAAUAUUGACUAUAAAAUCCUGACCUUGGAAAGUGGACCUGAAGAGAGACUCACAUUUAUUUCCAGUGUGUUGGAUGACUGUGACUCUAACUAAAUGGAACAAUGUCUUCAUCCAUUUUUGGUACUCAGGUUCUCUUCCUGCUUCUCUGUUAUGUUUUGAAGCAACUGAGAGACCCUCAACAGAGGCCAAACAGAUGUAGCCACUCAUCUUAGAAUUUUGGCCUCCAAAACUGUUUCAAGUGGGUUGCCACCACAGAUAUGCAGCAUUCUGGGAACAAUGGAUGGGUCAAAGUGAAACCCAUCAGGAAGCACCAUUUCUCACCCAAAAUGGCCACAGGUUAGAAAGGAAAUUCAAUCAAGGCACGUCAGAAUUUUUCACUAGAUAUUUUCCAAUGGUUUCUGGAACGAUAGAAAUCCUCUCUCACCUUAAGAAAUAAGAACUCGAAACUGGGUGAGGCAGCUACCUUUCCUCUCUAGGGGAGAAAGCCAGUUGCAAACAAAAGAAACAAGGCUGACCAACAAAAAGAAGAUUCACAAACUUCCAUGUCACUGGCAUCCUCAAAACUUCACGGUGCUCUUUGUAACAAUGAAGUUACUCAGCCCUGGUGAAUUUUUCUCUAGGAAGUCUGGUGUGACCCUUCCAGGAUUGAUUUAGGCUCUACUUUCCAUAUUUCUACAGAACUCGUGUCUAUCUCUGUUGUAGCAUGGACCACUGUACCGUGAGUUACCAAUCGCUCUUCUGUCUUCACUACUGGUCCAUUAGAGCCAGAGAGCUGGCUUUGACUUUCAGUUCCUGCUACUUCUUGUGCUGAACAUUUCUUUGUCUCUGCGACAAAAACAUGUUAUUUUUGUCUCACAGCAGUCCAUAGGUAUGCCAUAAUAGUUAAAAUUUUAUUUUGAUGUGUCUUUAUGGUUGUUUUGAUUGCUCUGUUUAAGAUUUGGUGACUUCAGUCCAUCCACA